UACAGAGGUGGCAAGCGUUGUUCGGAAUUACUGGGCGUAAAGAGCUCGUAGGUGGUUUGUCGCGUUGUCCGUGAAAACUCACAGCUCAACUGUGGGCGUGCGGGCGAUACGGGCAGACUGGAGUACUGCAGGGGAGACUGGAAUUCCUGGUGUAGCGGUGGAAUGCGCAGAUAUCAGGAGGAACACCGGUGGCGAAGGCGGGUCUCUGGGCAGUAACUGACGCUGAGGAGCGAAAGCGUGGGGAGCGAACAGG
Molecule: ribosomal RNA, 253 nt
Filed under: uncultured bacterium
Lineage: Bacteria
Description: partial 16S ribosomal RNA
Rfam family: Bacterial small subunit ribosomal RNA
Source: RNAcentral